This 787-nucleotide long non-coding RNA is filed under the name Gallus gallus (chicken). RNAcentral's name for it is "lncRNA (ENSGALG00010015727.1)". Lineage: Eukaryota; Metazoa; Chordata; Aves; Galliformes; Phasianidae. The record is from RNAcentral.
UCCAGGGACGGGGCAUCCACAACCUCUCUGGGCAGCCCGUUCCAGCACCUCGCCACUCUCCUGGCCUGCCUACCAGCUGUGGAGCUAAUAUCUACACGUGGCCCUGUAUCAUCCUUCUUAUACCUAUGAAUUUACCUUUCUAGCCAUCACCAGAAGGUUCAUCUCAUCAACUCUUGUUACUGAAACAGCAUCUUCCAUGGCCAAGAAUUGAACACUGCAACUUAGUGAACUUCCUCUAUCGUGUCCAGACAAUAUGGAGUGCUUUUCCUGAAUUACAUGUUCAUCAAGAAUCACAACUGCAUUCACCUGACAGUUAGGAUUACAGUAUCAUAUCGGCCAGGCCAUCACUUCUGCAAUCUUCACCAGCAAAGGAGGCAGAUAUUCUGUGGCUUCGUACUGGGGCACCUUGGAACACACUUUCUGUGGUUUGUUUGGCCCUGCUGAACAUGACAAACUGGACAUAAGAAGGCAUUAUAAGUACUGGGUGAAUGCUCAUGUCUUUGCUGCCCAUUGGAACAGUGUUAAAAUAAAGCUCCUUUUGACACGCUUAGGUGUAAACAUCGUUUCCAGGUAGGAAAGUGUUCUGAAGAUUUUUAAGCCAGGUGAUUUUAAAAAUGCUCCCUUUGAAACAAAAGGACCUCAGCAGGGAUUUUGGCUGAUGCAUUUGUGAGGCAAAGGGGAAUAUAUCAGCAUGACUUAGCCUCUGGCUCCCGAGGAUGGUUUCACGCGUGGGAAAUGCGGCUGCGAGAGCACCGGCCAAGGCGCGCUGAUGCGGGCGCUGUCCGUG